Long non-coding RNA from Suricata suricatta (meerkat), 5780 nucleotides. RefSeq lists it as uncharacterized. Lineage: Eukaryota; Metazoa; Chordata; Mammalia; Carnivora; Herpestidae. The transcript has 2 exons. The record is from RefSeq and is a predicted model, not a curated record.
ACGAACUGAGAUUAUGACCUGAGCCGAAGCCGGAAGCUGGACACUUAACCGACUGAGCCACCCAGGCGCCCCUAGAUAACUAAAUUUCUUAACAGCUUAAGAAAUGUAAUUGCUACCCAAUAGUAUGCCAUUAAUCACCUGAAAAUAAAGACUCUGUACUGGGAAAAUGGUAUUCAUAUGCCAUCUUUCUGUCUUGACUGUCAAAAUUUGUUCAAUAUAAAACUUCCAGAUGAAGCAAUUGUGAGCUUAGGAAAGAAUAGGACAACUGAAUGAACCCUUCUUAUCUCAAAAGAUAGAAUUUAAAAUGGAUUUAAAUAUUCAUGAGAGACAGAGGAGCUGGCAAUGACUUUAAGGAAACCCCCUCCCAAUCUCAGAGGAAGAAUAUGACCUAUGUUUCAUAUUCUCCCUUUCCAAAUUGAGUUUUUUGUAUGUGUACAUAUUUUGAUUUUUUAAAAAGCUGCUAUUCUCAAGACAUGUUAAAGUGUGCUGCUCAUUGGGAGUCUGCCCUAUUCUCUAUUGCCCGCUGUAGUUACUUACUUGCCAAGCAGCAGAUCAAAUGUCUGUUCCAUAACCUUCUGGAUACCAAGUCGAUCUAUGUCUCUCAUGGAAAAAUACUGGAUAUCAUAUUUCUUUAAAAUAAAACUGGAUGAGAUAUAAAAGAAGGAGUCCUGAGUUUAAAGAGCAUUUUUAAUCAAAUCCUUGUUGGGAUGGGAUUGGGGGUGAGUUUGUCUCUAUACGAUAGGUUAAGGCAAGGAACAACCUAUCAAAAGGAACGUAAAUGUCUAAGACAAGCCCAAAGCUUAGCCCCUGUGUAUCAACUUACUGCUCAGGAGGGUCCACAUCUCUUAGACCAAUAUACACAAUACUUGGGGAAGAGACACAAGGUUUGAUCCAAGAAAACCCUGGGAGUUGUGGCACCUGUCAAAGAGGAAUGAACAAGAGUCCUCCAGCAUUCUUGGUCUCACCAAGACAAUCACCAUGUGCUUCUCAAUUUAUGCAGGCUGCUUUCUCCUCCCACCUACAAGAUAUGCUUAAAGCAGCACAAGACACACACGAUCUGGGAACAACUGAUAGAAGUAGAAAUGAUUCAGAGGGCAGGCAGCUAAAGAACAACAGAUUUCCCAGAAUAAAAAAAAUAUUCUCCUAAGGUGGCCACGGUUUCUCAUUAACUUACCUAAAUAACAGGAACACUGCUGAUUAGCCCUUUUCCACCCCUUUGUACAUUACAGAAUUGUUUACAGAAUAGUUCCUGAAACAAAACCCAGUUGCCAUCUUAAGUUGCCUACAGCCAAAACACAAAUUCUGCCUAAUGAAUAACUUUUGUACCAUCCUGGUUAAACUUGGUCCCUCACUGAGAAGAAGGAUAUAUAGGUUCUGGUCUAUGCCUAACAUGGACUCCCAUGUUUUCCGAACAGCCUAGGAAAAUAUUACCUAGAGGUAAUCAUAAUUUUGCUUUCUUCUGGACCAAUGGGUCUGAGUGUGAAGCAGGCCAGGGAACCUCUAACCAGGGAGUCCUCAUGCUGUGGGUAUAUCAUUAGAAUUACUACCCACGGCCACUUUCCUUUCUUGCAAGAUUAUGACACGCCCUCCCCUCCCCCCUCCCCCAGAGCAGGGACCAUAUCCUAGUCCUCUUUAUAUCCCUAGCAUCUAGUAGACUGCCUGGCCCAUAAUAAUGUUUGAUGAACAAAUGAAGGAAUACUAAACAUUUCUACCAACACCAUCAGCCCAUCCUUCACAGAAGUCUUAUGGAACUAGUUCCUCAAAGCCCCAGCAUAAUCCAUGCAAGCCAUUUAAUUUUUUCAUUUCAACCCACUGACCUUGUCCUGUAGUUCUCUGAGAAGAAAUGAAACUGGCUGUCCAUGGAGAUUUCCAGAUGAAGUGGUGAGGGGUGUAUUGAUGUCAGCAUGGGCAUCCACCCAGAUCACACAAAGGUCUGGGCAAUGUCGGGCGUGGCCACUAAUGGUACCAAUUGCCAGGCUACAAGAAACAAACAUGAUAAUUGAGGCCCUCUGCUUGGCAAACAUCAACAAUAACAAACAUCCUCAAGUCGGUACAGCUCACACUUUGUCCUCAGGGCAAAGUCAGAGCCCCAGACUACGGCUGGAUUUGGAUGACCAACAGUCCUGGGCCUGUAGUUCCCAAAGAUUAACCUUGAGUGAGUUGGGGAGAAGUGGAAGGUUCCAAAGAUUCAAAACUUGUUGACGGGUUAUCCAUCUAGUUUGACAGAGGUCAUUGCUGCCCCCCAAAUCCCUAAAAUUUGAUAUUAGCCCUGACCCAGAAAAGGAACCUCAAAUAUUUGUUCAAUCAAUGAAAUACAGUUAAGUGGUAUGUUCUAUAUGUAACAAUUCACAAAUAUUUCUUAAUACUUCUUAAGGAAGACCAGGGAGGUCUAAUUAUUAAUUUCAAAGAAUCCAUUAUUUAAGGCAAAAAAAAUACUUAUAUUAACUUUUUAAGAAUAAAAAUUAGCAUUAUAGCUUUUUAGAAAGAUUAUGUGCUACUUCUUCAAAGGAGAAGUCAAAAUUACUAAAGACAUUAAAGCAACAGGGGAACCCAACUAAAGACCUCAUUUAUUAGAUCACUAAAUAAACAUUUAUUUGCGUGUUAUCUUCUGUAUAUUAGCAUGGCAUUCAAGUAUCAGUGUUUUUUGCUUUCCUUGUCCUGGGACUCUGUGUACAUUGGCUAACUGUCCUAUCUUGAUUGUAGGAAUAGAGCUGAUGAAAUCAUGGCUGGAAAGCUGCCCCGCUGCCCAGUAACCAAAGAAUUUGACAUAGAUGGGAAGUGCAGCUUAAGCAUUUUAGGAACUAACUACAGCUGUCUUUCUUGGUCAGGAUAGCAUCCAACAGCAUUUUAAGCUUUUUAAGGAAUAGCAUGGUCUAGUGUGAAAAGUAGUGGAUUAAGUCAGAAUACUGUUUUGUUUUCCAGAAAGUUGUAAUCUAGCAGAAGUCAUCUAGUUUUUCUAGACCAUUUACUUCUCUGUAAGAAAGGGAUAAUAAUCUUGGCUUAAGUCAGAGAUGUCUAAGACCAUAGUUUAUAUCAUAUUGUGUAAAAGGAGCAGGGUGACUUAAAAUGUUCAGUAGCUGGUUAAUAUAUACCCUCCUCCCUUCCUUUCUAGAAUCUUCCAGAUAGCCUUGGUUUUAGCACUGAACACGAAAUUGGGAACAGUGAAAAGGGUUGCAAUGUGGAUAACUACAGAAAAAAGAAAAGCCAAACACUAUGAUAAUCACCUUGAUAAGCAGCUCCCGAAUAGACAACCAGAAGAAAGUCAAUAUAAAUCAAUUUUGAGAGAGAACACUGAGCUAAAAGGAAGAAGGCCUGCCAUCUGGUUGAUUUAACUGAAUCACUAUAGAGAACCUGGACUACUCUCUUAUUCUACCUGAAAUUUUAUUCCUAAUGAGAUCUACCUGCAUUUCCAGUUGUAACAAAGAUUCAACUUCUGUUAAGUUAUCUCAAAAGCUCUCUGUGUACCACAGGAAAGUUGCUAGAUUGACUCUCAAAAGAAAAGUUAAUUGCCUUCAGAGGUCCCUCUAAUUUGAAUCUCACCUCUGCUACUUCCUGGCUGUAGAAGUUGGAUAAAUUAUCUGAUCUAUCCCUCAGUGUGCCUAGCAGAUUAGAUAAGGCUGUAUCUGCUUUGUGGUGUAAUCAUGAAGAUUAAAUGAGAAUAUAUAUGAAGUGCUCAGUACCCUAGUACUUUAAUGCCAUUUUUCUUUCUAUCAUAAACCUUCAUUGCCUGGCUCAGAUAGGACUGCUCUGGCCCAGAAUGAGCUCUUCUUUCUCUGAAAUUCUGUAGAAUUCAAUUUUUUUUCAUCCCAUGUGUAUUUAUUUCAUCUAGUCCUAGUAAAUCACAAUCCCAACAGUCCCUAACACUACUUGAGAACACACCCAGCAGUGCUCAAUAAAGUAUAUGCUGAUUCACUAAGAAGGAUCCUAGAGUCCAUAUUGUGAAGGUAGAGAACAUAUUCACAUGACAACUGGAGAAUCUGAACAUAUUAGCAAAAAUGCUUUAAAAAUUCAGCCUACUAAUGUAUCCUUCCAUUUCUCUCAAAUAGCCAAAAAAAACCCCACAAAAAAACCAAAAAAAACCCCCACCAGUUCAAGAGAGAAGCAUGAAACAUGAACACACAGUGUCUAAAAACUUUGCUUAGUCAAUCUCUGAACGUGUCCUCAUACUACACAAUGUGACCUACAAUGAAACCCAUAGGUGCCUCCAGCAACUCAGGAUUUUAGAUCUUAAGAUACUAUUAUGCACAUCAUACCCUAAAAAUUCUGAAGGGUAUUUUACUUUUAAGUGAGGAAGCAGACAAGCUAACCCAUUGGGCCAAAGUACCGUAUUACCCAGCUCCUCCACCACCCCGAGUCCCAGCUCACCUGUGAUCACCUCCCACUGUGACACAGCUGUAGCCACCUGACACGGCUCUACUAACCACCUCAGCCAGUUCCUGGUUGGCAAGGCCCACUGAGCGAGGAUUCACAAUCAGGUUGUUGUAGAGAUCAUCUUUAGGGACUGGAGUAAAACUCAAAUCUCCAAAAUCUUUUAGGUGGCAGCCUAGGAACAAAUUGGGGAUGAUAAGAUUAGUUGUGUAUGUUAUUCCAACUCUUACUGGCCUGGGCCACAAAUAAGAACUUGUGACAAAGUGCACAUCACACUCAUUUUGCCACAGUAAAACUCAAAAUGUCACAUGACUGCAGCAGGACUGUCACGUGAUUAUCUCAAUCCUCCCAGCAAUCCUGUGAGGUAGAUCCUAUUAGGAAUACCAUUUUGCAGGCAAAAAAGCUGGGUUAUGGGAAAUGAAGCCCAGAAACCUUCACUGACUUACCCUAACAAUCACAAAAUUAGUAGCAAUUAGACCUCAGAUAUCCCAGAGUUACAAAGUGAAAGUAAAAUACCAAUAUGAACCAAUAGGAUUUAAAGAAAACUAAGUACUUUUAGAGCAAAAAUACAUAGAAAUUUUCAUGUCAUAAACUUUUUUUUUAAAUAAAAGGCCAAUCCGAGGACCUUUUAAAGCAUCCUAAAAGUAAGAGAAAGGUCUUUGUUACUUACAAAGAUCCCAGGCAAUGUUUUAAUUCCUUGACAAGAAUUCUUACAACAAUCCUAUUAGAACACUAAAAUCACGCCAUUCUAUAGAGAAAAUGGGAAGUCCCAAAAUCACAGAGCUAAGUGGCAGAAGCAGGACCCAAAUUCAGGCCAUCUGCCCCUGAAACGGAUAUUCUUGACUACACAGUUUCCCGAGGAAUCACUUUUCAUUCCUCCCCUUUAAGAACUGGUUGGCGGAGAUGGAGAGGGAGCAGCGAACCUCUCAGAGUUUCACCUACUGCAGCAUACACCUAAGCCAGCUGCUGGACACAUCCUCCGAGCAGCUGGCUCAGUGAGCGACACAGGCAGUGACCAGCGGCACUCACUCCGGAGCACCUGCAGAGACAACCAGGAGGCACCACCCACAGAGAAGCUGGACACCCACCUGCUGGACAGUGACGUCCUGCGCAAGACGCAUCUCCUGGCCUUCCCCCAGGUGGAUAACAAGCCUGGAUAUCAGCCACUACCUGGGAGCUCUUCCCCACCUACAAGCCCUGAACAUGGGGCCCCAGCGUCGGGGCCACCCGCUCCUCCAGUUUAAUCCCCCUCAAGUAGCCUCUUUGACCAAUAAAAGCACAGACUUCUCUUAAAAAUAUUUUUUGGGGGGAGUGCUCAGUAAGAGGGGCAUGCCAAUCUUGAUCUCGGAGUUAUGGGUUUGAGCCCCAUGUUGGGUGCAAAGAUUACUUAAAAAUAAAAUUUUAGGGACGCC